RNAcentral lists this ribosomal RNA (1206 nucleotides) under Doratura stylata. RNAcentral's name for it is "large subunit ribosomal RNA". Lineage: Eukaryota; Metazoa; Arthropoda; Insecta; Hemiptera; Cicadellidae. The record is from RNAcentral.
ACUAAUUUGUGUGUCAUUUUUUAUAUUAAAAAGAAAAUUAGUUAUAAUUUUUUUAGUAUAUUAUAGGAAUAAUUCUUAUUUAUUUACUGUGUAGGAUUUCAAAUUAUUUUUGUAAAGAAUUUUAUUAGUACCUUUUGUAUCAGGGUGAAUUAAAUAAUUUAGGUAGCUUUAUUUUCCCGAAUAAAAAAGAUCAAAUAUCUUAAUAUAUUUUAAUUGUAGAACAAAUUUUAUUAAUAAGAUAUUAGUAAUUAAAUGUUAAUCGAUUUUUGUGUAUCUGGUUACUGAGGAAUUUAAUUAAAUUAAGCACCAUAAAAAUGUAAAAUUUUGGAUAUUUUGGUGUAAAUUUAUUAGGGAUAAUCUUAGUAAAUUUACUAAAAUUCAUGCAUGAUGAAGUAUACUACCUUUGAAAUUAAGAAUUUAGUUUUUAAUAAAAUUUCUUCUUUAUUUUUUAUUUUUUAAAAUUUAGUUUUUUACUUAGUUUUUUAAAUUAAUUGUGAUUUUUUAUUAAUAAUGAUUUAAUUAGUAUAGUUAAUAGAUUAACUACUAUGAACUCGACAAUUCUUAUUUCCAACUGUUUAACAAAAACAUUUUCUUUAGUUUUUAUUAAAGGUAUAUCCUGCCCUAUGGAUAAUUCUAAAUGGCUGCAGUAUUUUGACUGUACAAAGGUAGCAUAGUAAUUAGUUUCUUAAUUAGGAACUUGUAUGAAUGGAUUCAUGAGAUAUAUGUUUUAUUUAUUUAAAUAUUAAAAUUUUAAUUUUAGGUUAAAAUGCCUAAUAAAUUUCUUGGGACGAUAAGACCCUAUAGAACUUUAUAUUUAUGUUAAAAAUUUCUUUUAAAUUUUAUAUUAAAUUUUUAACUAUAAUAUUUUGCUGGGGUGGUUAGUAAAUUUUAACUUUACUUUUAUUUUUCAUGAAUAUAUGUUAUUUUUGAUCCUUAAAAAAGAUUACAAGAAUAAGUUACCUUAGGGAUAACAGCGUAAUUUUAGUGGGGAGUUCAUAUCUAUAUUAAUUUUGCGACCUCGAUGUUGAAUUAAGAAAAAUCUAAGAAGCAGAAUUCUUAGUUUUAAGUCUGUUCGACUUUUAAAUUCUUACAUGAUUUGAGUUCAAACCGGCGUGAGCCAGGUUGGUUUCUAUCUUAGAAUAUUAUUAUAAGUUAUUUAGUACGAAAGGACCAAUAACUGAUACUUAGCGUAUUUAUUACUAAAUA